UUUAUGGAGAGUUUGAUCCUGGCUCAGGAUGAACGCUGGCGGCGUGCCUAAUACAUGCAAGUCGAGCGAACGGACGAGAAGCUUGCUUCUCUGAUGUUAGCGGCGGACGGGUGAGUAACACGUGGAUAACCUACCUAUAAGACUGGGAUAACUUCGGGAAACCGGAGCUAAUACCGGAUAAUAUUUUGAACCGCAUGAUUCAAAAGUGAAAGACGGUCUUGCUGUCACUUAUAGAUGGAUCCGCGCUGCAUUAGCUAGUUGGUAAGGUAACGGCUUACCAAGGCAACGAUGCAUAGCCGACCUGAGAGGGUGAUCGGCCACACUGGAACUGAGACACGGUCCAGACUCCUACGGGAGGCAGCAGUAGGGAAUCUUCCGCAAUGGGCGAAAGCCUGACGGAGCAACGCCGCGUGAGUGAUGAAGGUCUUCGGAUCGUAAAACUCUGUUAUUAGGGAAGAACAUAUGUGUAAGUAACUGUGCACAUCUUGACGGUACCUAAUCAGAAAGCCACGGCUAACUACGUGCCAGCAGCCGCGGUAAUACGU
This 545-nucleotide ribosomal RNA is filed under the name Staphylococcus aureus. RNAcentral's name for it is "bacterial SSU rRNA". It matches the Rfam family "Bacterial small subunit ribosomal RNA", at positions 1 to 528 of the family's 1533-position model. Lineage: Bacteria; Bacillati; Bacillota; Bacilli; Caryophanales; Staphylococcaceae. The record is from RNAcentral.